This 1026-nucleotide unclassified non-coding RNA is filed under the name Hevea brasiliensis (rubber tree). The record is from RNAcentral. Lineage: Eukaryota; Viridiplantae; Streptophyta; Magnoliopsida; Malpighiales; Euphorbiaceae.
CUUGGUCACAGAUCCCACUUCAGAUCACCCUGGUGGAUGCACUGCUGCUGAUCUUGCAUCUGCAAAGGGUUAUGAUGGCUUAGCAGCUUAUCUGUCAGAAAAGUGUUUAGUAGCACAAUUCAAGGAUAUGUCUGUAGCCGGAAAUGUUAGUGGCUCUCUGCAAACAAGUUCAACUGACAAUGUGAACGCCGAGAAUUUAAGUGAGGAGGACCUAUAUCUGAAGGAUACUUUAGCAGCUUAUCGAACAGUUGCUGAUGCAGCAGCACGUAUACAGGUUGCAUUUAGAGAACACUCCCUAAAAGUUCGGACUAAAGCAGUUCAGUUUGCAAAUCCAGAGGAUGAAGCACGGAACAUAGUUGCGGCAAUGAAGAUUCAACAUGCCUUUCGCAACUAUGAAACACGGAAAAAGAUGGCAGCUGCUGCCCGUAUCCAGUAUAGGUUUCGUACAUGGAAAAUGCGGAAGGAAUUCCUUACCAUGCGUAAACAUGCUAUCAGAAUUCAAGCUGCUUUUCGAGGCUUCCAAGUGAGAAGGCAAUACUGCAAGAUAGUCUGGUCAGUUGGAGUGCUUGAGAAAGCAAUUCUGCGAUGGCGUUUAAAAAGAAGAGGAUUCCGUGGCCUUCAUGUUGAUCCCAUUGAAGUAGUUGCAGAUGAGAGGCAGGAAAGUGAUGUGGAGGAAGACUUCUACCGAGCUAGUCGGAAGCAAGCUGAAGAGCGUGUUGAGAGAGCAGUUGUACGGGUUCAAGCCAUGUUCCGUUCAAGGAAGGCACAAGAAGAAUAUCGCAGGAUGAAAUUGACUUAUAACGAAGCAGAGCUGGAAUACGAAGGGCUUCUUGACCAUGAUAUCAACUUGGAUGGAUGAACCUGAUUGAAGAUGCAGAUUGACUUGGUAAUUUUGCGGUUAUGGAUGGUAUGCAUGUAAAUCUGAAUGUUCGUAGUGUAGGUUUAUGCCUUUUAGUAGCCUGUACAUCUUGGUAGAUGCCUAGUAUGAUCUGGUCAUGCACUUUUUUACCCUUGUCAUGAUAACAA